This 505-nucleotide ribosomal RNA is filed under the name uncultured bacterium. RNAcentral describes it as "partial 16S ribosomal RNA". It matches the Rfam family "Bacterial small subunit ribosomal RNA", at positions 30 to 523 of the family's 1533-position model. The record is from RNAcentral.
AUUGAACGCUGGCGGCAUGCCUAACACAUGCAAGUCGAACGGCAGCACCACAGAGCUUGCUCUGUGGGUGGCGAGUGGCGGACGGGUGAGUAAUGCAUCGGGACCUACCCAGACGUGGGGAUAACGUAGGGAAACUUACGCUAAUACCGCAUACGUCCUACGGGAGAAAGCGGGGGAUCGCAAGACCUCGCGCGGUUGGAUGGACCGAUGUGCGAUUAGCUAGUUGGUAAGGUAACGGCUUACCAAGGCGACGAUCGCUAGCUGGUCUGAGAGGAUGAUCAGCCACACUGGGACUGAGACACGGCCCAGACUCCUACGGGAGGCAGCAGUGGGGAAUAUUGGACAAUGGGCGCAAGCCUGAUCCAGCAAUGCCGCGUGUGUGAAGAAGGCCCUCGGGUUGUAAAGCACUUUUAUCAGGAGCGAAAUCUGCAAGGUUAAUACCUUUGCAGUCUGACGGUACCUGAGGAAUAAGCACCGGCUAACUCCGUGCCAGCAGCCGCCGUAA